UUUGUGACAGUAGGUGGAUGUGGUGGUGGCAAAGGUCCUGCACCUCUAACCUCUGACAGUGAACGUGGUUCAGCUUUCUGCUGUUCAGGCCGCUCCAGUCAUUCUUUAUGUUACGCUGCCGCCUCAUGAAAGGACACCGUGAGUUUGUUUGGUGGACUGGAACGGCAUCAAAGCAAAGAACAGAGGCGCGUGUGCCGGGCUGUCGCUGAAGUGAGAACCGCUCCACGGCUGCUUGGUUUGAACAGAUGAAAGGGUUAAUCUCAUUUGACGACAUACAACCGUGAGUAAUGACUCCAAAGCCUCCCACUGCCUUUGCACUGUUUCAUUUGCAACUUUUUCCUGAAGCAUGGCCUUAUUUGUUGUACAGCCUUGGCUGCACUCUGCCUUUCUUGCCUCCAUUGUACUCGCAGCAGCCCGCUGCUUACUGUCUGUGUGUGCCUAGGUAAACACAUUAUGGGAAUAGAAGCUAAUCCAUCACGGGAGUCACGCUGAAAUGUUUCUCCCUCAGGGCUCUGCAGUGCUGUGGUAUCAGGUGGAAAGUUUCCACUUCCUGUCUUUGUCGGCAGGUUCCUGGCCGAAGGGGGCAAUUUCACGAUUGGCCCCCGGUGGAUUGAACAUACGACCCACGGGCGACACUACCUGUUCCACCACUACCCCGGAUGGCGCCACUCCUGGAAGGGGAGGUUUACGCUGUACCCUGAGUGGGAGACGAGAUGAGGGAUGUUUCCAUCUAUCUUUCAAGAAGUAAUGAAGUCAUCAUCCCUGCAAAAGAUGUGUCCUGACCCUGUCGUAUCCUGAUGGGGGAGGUUCUGACUGCUGGCCAGGUGGGAGCAGUGGAAGAGGCAGGACUGGAGGCAUUGGCCUUGCACGGAUGCUUUGCCUCCGUGUUUAUUUGAUAUCCCGGUUUAACGCGCAGCCAGGACGUAAGAAGACGCGUGGAAAGAAGGCGUAAGGAAAGAUGGGUGUGUUUAUUUUACGUUUGGGUGAAUGUACAAUAAGCUGAAAGACUGAAGGUGUGAAAGAAAAGAGAGGAAAACGAAAGACAGACAGGCUGAGACCCCACUCAAAUGUCCAAACAGAAGUGUAUGAGUGAUUUGCUGGGUGAAAGAUAAUGUAGACUGUAAUUCUCCUCAUGAAUCUAAGCACGUCAUAUAUCUCACUUGCCUGGCCGGCUCAUAAACAAGCCGGGAAUAAAACAAACAUGUUAAACCGAUUCCA
RNAcentral lists this long non-coding RNA (1218 nucleotides) under Betta splendens (Siamese fighting fish). RNAcentral describes it as "lncRNA (ENSBSLG00000018851.1)". Lineage: Eukaryota; Metazoa; Chordata; Actinopteri; Anabantiformes; Osphronemidae. The record is from RNAcentral.